RNAcentral lists this ribosomal RNA (263 nucleotides) under uncultured bacterium. Its description in RNAcentral is "partial 16S ribosomal RNA". It matches the Rfam family "Bacterial small subunit ribosomal RNA", at positions 793 to 1055 of the family's 1533-position model. The record is from RNAcentral.
GUCCACGCCGUAAACGAUUAGUGCUAGGUGUUGGGGGGUACCACCCUCAGUGCCGAAGCUAACGCAUUAAGCACUCCGCCUGGGGGAGUACGGUCGCAAGACUGAAACUCAAAGGAAUUGACGGGGGCCCGCACAAGCAGUGGAGCAUGUGGUUUAAUUCGAAGCAACGCGAAGAACCUUACCAAGACUUGACAUCCCGCUGACCACUCUAGAGAUAGAGUUUCCCUUCGGGGCAGCGGUGACAGGUGGUGCAUGGUUGUCGU